AGACAUCCGACCUCGACGAGUGCA
RNAcentral lists this non-coding RNA (24 nucleotides) under Arabidopsis thaliana (thale cress). The record is from RNAcentral. Lineage: Eukaryota; Viridiplantae; Streptophyta; Magnoliopsida; Brassicales; Brassicaceae.